GGAAUUGUAGGCAUAUUUUUAAGGAUACAGUAAGAUGCUUGUGGUCUUGUGUGCAAAGUUGAAUAAGGAAUUUUGUACAAGUACUUCCUAAUUGUGACACUGAUGUAUCGUAUCAUUCAGAAAAUUUUCUGAAAUAAAUGUGAUUUGAAAAUUAGCUUGCCUGUGGAUUAAUAAGAGUACGGCUAAUUAGCUUGCCUUUGGAUUAAUAAGAGUACGGC
This 218-nucleotide unclassified non-coding RNA is filed under the name Hevea brasiliensis (rubber tree). The record is from RNAcentral. Lineage: Eukaryota; Viridiplantae; Streptophyta; Magnoliopsida; Malpighiales; Euphorbiaceae.